RNAcentral lists this ribosomal RNA (716 nucleotides) under Staphylococcus warneri. RNAcentral describes it as "bacterial SSU rRNA". It matches the Rfam family "Bacterial small subunit ribosomal RNA", at positions 74 to 775 of the family's 1533-position model. The record is from RNAcentral. Lineage: Bacteria; Bacillati; Bacillota; Bacilli; Caryophanales; Staphylococcaceae.
AGGAGCUUGCUCCUUUGACGUUAGCGGCGGACGGGUGAGUAACACGUGGAUAACCUACCUAUAAGACUGGGAUAACUUCGGGAAACCGGAGCUAAUACCGGAUAACAUAUUGAACCGCAUGGUUCAAUAGUGAAAGGCGGCUUUGCUGUCACUUAUAGAUGGAUCCGCGCCGUAUUAGCUAGUUGGUAAGGUAACGGCUUACCAAGGCAACGAUACGUAGCCGACCUGAGAGGGUGAUCGGCCACACUGGAACUGAGACACGGUCCAGACUCCUACGGGAGGCAGCAGUAGGGAAUCUUCCGCAAUGGGCGAAAGCCUGACGGAGCAACGCCGCGUGAGUGAUGAAGGUCUUCGGAUCGUAAAACUCUGUUAUCAGGGAAGAACAAAUGUGUAAGUAACUGUGCACAUCUUGACGGUACCUGAUCAGAAAGCCACGGCUAACUACGUGCCAGCAGCCGCGGUAAUACGUAGGUGGCAAGCGUUAUCCGGAAUUAUUGGGCGUAAAGCGCGCGUAGGCGGUUUUUUAAGUCUGAUGUGAAAGCCCACGGCUCAACCGUGGAGGGUCAUUGGAAACUGGAAAACUUGAGUGCAGAAGAGGAAAGUGGAAUUCCAUGUGUAGCGGUGAAAUGCGCAGAGAUAUGGAGGAACACCAGUGGCGAAGGCGACUUUCUGGUCUGUAACUGACGCUGAUGUGCGAAAGCGUGGGGAUCAAACAG